This 433-nucleotide ribosomal RNA is filed under the name uncultured bacterium. Its description in RNAcentral is "partial 16S ribosomal RNA". It matches the Rfam family "Bacterial small subunit ribosomal RNA", at positions 29 to 507 of the family's 1533-position model. The record is from RNAcentral.
AACGAACGCUGGCGGCAUGCCUAACACAUGCAAGUCGAACGAGACGUUCGGGUCUAGUGGCGCACGGGUGCGUAACGCGUGGGAACCUGCCCUUAGGUUCGGAAUAACUCCCCGAAAGGGGUCCUAAUACCGGAUAAUGUCUUCGGACCAAAGACUUAUCGCCUUGGGAUGGGCCCGCGUUGGAUUAGCUGGUUGGUAGGGUAAAAGCCUACCAAGGCGACGAUCCAUAGCUGGUCUGAGAGGAUGACCAGCCACGCUGGGACUGCGACACGGCCCAGACUCCUACGGGAGGCAGCAGUGGGGAAUAUUGGACGAUGGGCGAAAGCCUGAUCCAGCAAUGCCGCGUGAGUGAUGCAGGCCUUAGGGUUGUAAAGCUCUUUUACCCGGGAUGAUAAUGACAGUACCGGGAGAAUAAGCUCCGGCUAACUCCGUG